Molecule: ribosomal RNA, 406 nt
Filed under: uncultured bacterium
Lineage: Bacteria
Description: partial 16S ribosomal RNA
Rfam family: Bacterial small subunit ribosomal RNA
Source: RNAcentral
AUUGAACGCUAGCGGCAGGCCUAACACAUGCAAGUCGGACGAGCGGCGGACGGGUGAGUAAUGUAUGGGGACCUGCCUGGUGGCGGGGGAUAACUACUGGAAACGGUAGCUAAUACCGCAUACCAUCAGAUGAGCCCAUAUGGGAUUAGCUAGUAGGUAAGGUAACGGCUUACCUAGGCGACGAUCCGUAGCUGGUCUGAGAGGAUGAUCAGCCACACUGGGACUGAGACACGGCCCAGACUCCUACGGGAGGCAGCAGUGGGGAAUAUUGCACAAUGGGCGCAAGCCUGAUGCAGCCAUGCCGCGUGUAUGAAGAAGGCCUUCGGGUUGUAAAGUACUUUCAGUCGGGAGGCGUUACCGACAGAAGAAGCACCGGCUAACUCCGUGCCAGCCGCCGCGGUAAUUC